Sus scrofa (pig) is the source of this 3770-nucleotide non-coding RNA. The record is from RefSeq and is a predicted model, not a curated record. NCBI's taxonomy places the organism in Eukaryota, Metazoa, Chordata, Mammalia, Artiodactyla, Suidae.
ACGAUGGGAACUUCGGCUUAUGCUUUUUAAUAAUGAUUUCAUUUCAUUCUCAAACAAUGAAAGGCCAUUCUAUAGACAAUUCUCUAUAGCACUUUUUAAUUUGUAACCUUAUUUUUGUUUGUCUAGUUUCUUCACUGGUCUGUGAAAUUUUAGUGCCUGACAUUGGGGUGUUCAAUACAUGUUUGUUGAAAGAAUGCCUGACUAAUUCUGUUAGGUAGGAUACUUAGAUGAGACAACUGGGAUGCAUUUAGAUUAAAUGACAGGAUGAAGAUCCCACAGCGAAUGAAUACAAAAUAAGCUUCUAUAACCUCAAUCCAUUUCCUACCCACCAGCUACUUUCUACAUUGAGUUGUCUCCCUUUUUAUGUUGUCAAUGACUGACAUGAAAGUAUUUGGUUUGGUUGUUAAAAUCAUGAAAAUAAUAGAUUUGAGAUAAAGGUACAAUGCAUUUGACAAGAAUUUAAUUUUGCCUUUUUUGGUAUUGGUUAAUAAUAGCUUUCAACUAAAUACAAAGUUCUGUAAUUUUCUUCUAAAUAUUUAAAGGGAGAAAAACUACUUAGUCUAUGCUUAGAAUGAUGAGAACAAGGGUUACAUUUUUCUAUUUUAGGUGAUUUAUUCCUGAAAAGGAUAUUCAGCUUGGCACUCACUCCUGGAGAGGUGACCCCUUCUCUCAUAAUCUUGGUGUUGGUUUUCGUUUUUGUAAGAGCACUAAGGAACAAUGGAAGAAAGCAGGUGUUUCCUCCUGGCUCAUGUUCCUUUCCCAUCAUAGGAAAUCUUCAGCUUGGAGGCCAUCCUUACCUUACAUUCAUGGAGAUGAGGAAGAAAUACGGAGUUGUCUUUUUCAUCAAACUUGGCGUGAUGCCUGUUCUGGUGGUGAAUGGAAUGGAAAUGGUAAAACAAGUACUACUCAAGGGUGGAGAACAUGUUGCAGGUCGACUUCACAUGCAUACAUUUUCUUUCCUGGCAAAAGGAAAGAGUCUCACAUUUUUGGCCAAUUAUAGAGAGAGUUGUAAACUUUGUAAAAAAAAUUGCCUCUAAUGCUUUAUGAACAUUUUCUCAAGAGGAAACAAAAUCCCCCACCUGUUCUUGCUUUCUUGAGGAACACGUUGUUGAGGAAGUUUCCGAGCUAGUAAAAGUCUUUGCAGAAUUGACUUCCAACAGUUGUAGCUUUGACUGCAGAAGUGCUAUCACAUGGGUGGUGGCCAUCAUUGUCUGUGCCCUUUGCUUUUGCAAGAGAUAUGACCAUAGUGAUGAAGAGUUUCUCAGAAUAGUGAAAAUGAAUGAUGACUUACUCAAAGCCUCCAGCACUGCUAUCCUGCUGAUUUCAUACCAUGUUUCUGUUACCUUCCACUGUGAAUUACAAAUGCUCCCCCAGAGAUUUAUCAGGCCCUGAAUCUGUUUCUUGUACUUACAUGUACAAGAUCUUCUUACAACAUUUGAUAAGGUAGGGAUUUGAACUCAUACUAGGACAAGGCAUUUGGUGAGAAACAAGAAAGAAUAAUGAGAUGUGUUGAGUAUCCAGACAGUUGUAUGUAUUUCUUCCUUGAUUCUUCCACUCUGAUUUUCCAUGAUGAACCUUACCCAAACUAUUAGUAAAUAUGAAACCCAGUCAGAGAGAUUAUAGAAUGGUAUUACUUAGUUCUCAUGUAGGGACCCUAAGAAAAUCUUUGAAUUUUCAGAGCUUAGAAAUUUCCCUAGUAUGUGGAUAAGGCACAUAUUUGAAUUAUGAAUCUAUAAUUGGCUAAUAAAUGUUGCCACCAUGUACAUGAGUUUCUUGAAGAAAUGAGCCAAUUAUUUCAUUUCUCUCAUUCUUAUGUCUGAAAUUAUGAGGUCUUAAAAUUCUCAGCAUUUUUUUUCAUAAAAUUCUUUGAAUAAUUGUAAAGAAUAUUUUAUAGGAAACUUCCAAUUUACCCUUGUAUCCUGCUUGAGUUUCUUUCCUAUGAAGAAAUGAACUUUGGGAUCAUAGCACAUAAAUUAAGAUUCUCUAGGUGACAAAAGUGAACCUUUUUUUAUGCCAUUGAGAUGUUUUUGGCCCAAUUAGAUGGUCCACAGGAGAGUAAAUUUCUCUCUUGAAGUAUGUAUGUGCCGAAAAGAAUCCUAGUUCUUGGGGACCAAUUUGUUAAGAUGAAAGCAUCAGGGGAAAAAAACAUGAAAAAGUGGGUAAUUGAGCAAAGAAAUGUGAGGACUUAAGUCCUCUCCAAUUAAAAGAAGAGGCAGAAAAUAAUCUGUUUCGAUAUACCAGCCUGGAAUUCUAGAUCAGAUAUAGUAAGUAAAAGAGUUUAUAAAGUUCAUAGAUUUUUCUUCCUGCUCCCUAACCUAGUCUAGCCCUACCUCCUUCUGCAAGGUGAUUAUAGUAAAAUUUUUACAAUAGUUUUAAAUACCGCCUUAUUUAUUGCCUAACAAUUUCUCCGUAAUAAGUUAACCUCUGGUUUUCCUAAGUGUGUUUCUAGACAUAGGUAUACUCUUUAUUGAUUGAAAAAAAAUUAAGAAAAUUGAGUUUAGUAACUUGCUUUUCUAUUCCAUCCUCUUUUAAGACUGAGAAUUACCAUUACUAAGCAAAAUUGCUUGUGGGGUAUCACAUGAUCUACGUACCUUCUUUGUAUUCUAAGCUAAUUGGGUUCAUUUCAAGUUACAUGGUAAUAUGGCUCUUCUUGCAUGAGAGUCAAAUAUGGUGCAAAAUGCAGGUAGUGGUGAAUAAUCAUGCAAGGUUUAUAUCCUUAGGACCACAUUCAAGGUAUUACUGAUGCUCUGAUGAAUACAUGCCACAACAAAUAUGCUUCUACCAGAAUAGCCACCUUAAAUGACGAUGAAAUCAUAAGCACCAUGAAUGACCUCUUUAGAGCUGGUUUUGAAACAACCUCAACCUGUCUAUCCUGGAGCUUUCUUUAUUUGAUACACUAUCCAGAAAUUCAAGCCAGAAUUAAAGAGGAAAUUGAAACUAAUUGGAAUGACAUCACCCAGAUCUGAAGACAGUACUACAGCAGACACUACUCUGAAUGCCUCUUUUAUUCCCAGGUAAACAUAUACAUUUAUUAACAUACAUCAAGUAAAUCAUGAUGAGUAAGUCAACAAAAUUAUUUCUUGUGAUAAAAUUUGCUUGUCUGUUUGUUUGCUAUUUACUAAUCUGGGAAAAAUUUAUGUUCUUCUUAACCAAACUUUAUUCCCUCUGUAUCUCUUGAAAGAAGUUGGAAAGAAAUUCAGUUUUCCUUUCUCACUGAUAAUAGGAAGGAUGAAAUUUAAAAAAUUUUUUAUUAUAGUUGGUUUACAUUAUUCUUUCAAUUCCUGCUAUAAAGCAAAGUGAUCCAGCCAUACAUACAUAUAUAUUCUUCUCUUUUUUUCCUAUCAUGUUCUAUCACAAGUGAUAUUCAGCAUAUAUAUACUGAUAUAUACCUGUGCUAUACAGCAGGACCUCAUUGCUUAUCCUUUCUGAAUGUAAUAGUUUGCAUCUAUUAAACCCAAACUCCCAGUCCAUCCCACUCCCUACCAUCUCCUCCUUGGCAACCACAAGUCUACUGUCCCUGUCUAUAAGUAUGUUUCCAUUCUGCAGAUAGGUUAAUCUGUGCCAUACUUUAGAUUCCAUGUAUAAGUUAUAUCAUAUGGUAUCUGUCUUUCUCUUUCUGGCUUACUUCACUUACUAUGAGAAUUGCUAGUUCCAUCCAAUUUGCAGCAAAUUGUAUUAUUUUGUUCUUUUUUAUGGCUGAGUAGUAUUCCAUUGUGUAUAUGUACCACAUCUUCUUAAUCCAUUCAUCCAUUGACGGACAUUUAGGUUUU